CGUUCCGUAAACUCUAGUGUAUUGUCAAUAAUAAUAACUGUUGUCGUCAUAUGUUUUCUGUAUGAUAGGUACCACGCUUACCAUUAAUUAAAAUAUCAAUUGAUGAAAGGAUUUUUCCACGUAAGGGUCCUCACACAGACUUUGGUGGUGGUCGUCGUCCCAUGACCGUUGACGGCAUAGAAGUUGGAUCAAAAGUAGAAUUUACUAAUGCUGAAUAUAUUAUCAACGGUGUGUUACAUCCAAAUAAAUGAAAAAGAUCUCAUUGAGGACAAAGAAGAUAAAAUAAAAGAUCAAGAAAAGUUAAAGGUGAAAAAGAAGAU
Molecule: long non-coding RNA, 320 nt
Organism: Adelges cooleyi (spruce gall adelgid)
Lineage: Eukaryota; Metazoa; Arthropoda; Insecta; Hemiptera; Adelgidae
Exons: 2
Source: RefSeq, a predicted model, not a curated record